GAGCUGGAGUAGAUACGUAGCACAUAUACUAAAAUUGGAACGAUACAGAGAAGAUGAGCACGGCCUCCGCGCAAGGAUGACAUACAAAUUCGUCAAGCGUUCCAUAAUUUU
Non-coding RNA from Ornithorhynchus anatinus (platypus), 111 nucleotides. The record is from Rfam. Lineage: Eukaryota; Metazoa; Chordata; Mammalia; Monotremata; Ornithorhynchidae.